GUGGGGGAUGANGUUCUAUGGAGCGUAACCCCUGUAAGUAGGGACGAAUGAUAGGCAUUCGAAUAGGGUGCUUAUGUGACGGUACCUGCGGAGUAAGCUCCGGCUAACUCCGUGCCAGCAGCCGCGGUAAUACGGGGGGAGCAAGCGUUGUCCGGAAUUACUGGGCGUAAAGGGCGUGUAGGCGGUUUAAUAAGUCAGAUGUAAAAGCCCCCGGCUCAACCGGGGAUGGUCAUUUGAAACUGUUAGGCUUGAGUGUGAGAGAGGGUAGUGGAAUUCCCAGUGUAGCGGUGAAAUGCGUAGAUAUUGGGAAGACACCAGUAGCGAGGCGGCUACCUGGCUCACAACUGACGCUAAG
Molecule: ribosomal RNA, 355 nt
Filed under: uncultured bacterium
Lineage: Bacteria
Description: bacterial SSU rRNA
Rfam family: Bacterial small subunit ribosomal RNA
Source: RNAcentral